UACGAGAGGCCCAAACGUUAUUCGGAAUUACUGGGCUUAAAGAGUUCGUAGGCGGCGCAGAAAGUAGGGUGUGAAAGCCCUCGGCUCAACCGAGGAAUUGCGCUCUAAACUACUGUGCUUGAGGAAGCUAGAGGUGAGCGGAACUGAUGGUGGAGCGGUGAAAUGCGUUGAUAUCAUUAGGAACACCGGAGGCGAAGGCGGCUCACUGGGGCUUUUCUGACGCUGAGGAACGAAAGCCAGGGGAGCGAACGGG
RNAcentral lists this ribosomal RNA (253 nucleotides) under uncultured bacterium. RNAcentral's name for it is "partial 16S ribosomal RNA". It matches the Rfam family "Bacterial small subunit ribosomal RNA", at positions 524 to 776 of the family's 1533-position model. The record is from RNAcentral.